RNAcentral lists this ribosomal RNA (460 nucleotides) under uncultured bacterium. RNAcentral's name for it is "partial 16S ribosomal RNA". It matches the Rfam family "Bacterial small subunit ribosomal RNA", at positions 338 to 795 of the family's 1533-position model. The record is from RNAcentral.
CCUACGGGAGGCAGCAGUGAGGAAUAUUGGUCAAUGGACGCAAGUCUGAACCAGCCAUGCCGCGUGCAGGAAGACGGCUCUAUGAGUUGUAAACUUCUUUUGUACGGGGGUAAACGCAGAUACGCGUAUCUGUCUGAAAGUAUCGUACGAAUAAGGAUCGGCUAACUCCGUGCCAGCAGCCGCGGUAAUACGGAGGAUUCAAGCGUUAUCCGGAUUUAUUGGGGUUAAAGGGUGCGUAGGCGGUCUGGUAAGUUAGAGGUGAAAUCCCGAGGCUCAACCUCGGAAUUGCCGUUGAUACUGGCAGGCUAGAGAGCAGUUGCGGUAGGCGGAAUGUAUGGUGUAGCGGUGAAAUGCUUAGAGAUCAUACAGAACACCGAUUGCGAAGGCAGCUCACCAAGCUACUACUGACGUUGAGGCACGAAAGUGUGGGGAGCAAACAGGAUUAGAUACCCCUGUAGUC